CGGACGGGUGAGUAACGCGUGGGUAACCUGCCUUGCACUGGGGGAUAACACUUAGAAAUAGGUGCUAAUACCGCAUAAGCGCACGGUCCUGCAUUGGGACAGUGUGAAAAACUCCGGUGGUGCAAGAUGGACCCGCGUCUGAUUAGCUGGUUGGCGGGGUAAAGGCCCACCAAGGCGACGAUCAGUAGCCGGCCUGAGAGGGUGGACGGCCACAUUGGGACUGAGACACGGCCCAGACUCCUACGGAAGGCAGCAG
This 256-nucleotide ribosomal RNA is filed under the name uncultured bacterium. RNAcentral's name for it is "partial 16S ribosomal RNA". It matches the Rfam family "Bacterial small subunit ribosomal RNA", at positions 99 to 354 of the family's 1533-position model. The record is from RNAcentral.